Molecule: long non-coding RNA, 805 nt
Organism: Salvia miltiorrhiza (redroot sage)
Lineage: Eukaryota; Viridiplantae; Streptophyta; Magnoliopsida; Lamiales; Lamiaceae
Exons: 3
Source: RefSeq, a predicted model, not a curated record
UUACUCAAAAUCCAAAUUUUCUCCCUCACGCAAUAUGUUCUCUCUCCCUCCCUCUCUGCCGUUUCCUUCUCCCAAAUUUCUCCGGCGAACAUCGCCGGUUCUCGUCGACGCCGGCGCGGCGAGGCUGGCGUCUCUCUCCCCUCCUCCUUUCUUUCUUUUUUCUUUCCCUUAAUUUAAAUUAGUAACUACCUAGGGUUUUUAAAUCUUGUUCAAUCCUGUUCUCCGACGAGUUCCACCGCGCCGCUGCCGUGCUUGUCGCAUCGCCACUCCUCCAUCUCAGAUCUGGGAAUUUCGUUUCCAACGCUCCACUCACCGCCGUCCAGCAACUCGUCCCGCCUCCCCACCGUCUAUCCACUGCUGCGCCUGGCCUCGCCGUCGCCGUCGAUUGCAGCGCCUAGCCUCGCCGCGCUGCUGCGCCUCUCCUCGCUGCGCCGUGUAUUGCUACUCCUCGCCUCGCCGCACUGUCGAUUGCUGCGCCUCGACUCGCCAUCGAUUGCUGCCACCCAUUGAGAUCUCUAAAUCCUGACGCCUCACCCCCCUCGUCGCUCGACUGCACCUCCGCCUCAUUGUCUACGCUAUCACCAGGUACACCAUUUUCGACAGCACCAAACGGAGCAGCUUAUUAGAAAUCUUAGUUCUUAGCUGUGGGAGGUAUAUUCAACCGGUAAAUCCUGAACUUCGUAGCUUCAUUCGUUCAACUGGCAUGAAACUAGAAGUAGUUGACUCUGUAAGUUCCUUAUACCUCUCUCUCAUCACAAAACAUGUAUUUUGCUUGACUUGGUGAAAAAAUUAUAUGUUUUAAUUC